This 377-nucleotide ribosomal RNA is filed under the name uncultured bacterium. RNAcentral describes it as "bacterial SSU rRNA". It matches the Rfam family "Bacterial small subunit ribosomal RNA", at positions 524 to 898 of the family's 1533-position model. The record is from RNAcentral.
UACGGAGGGGGCAAGCGUUGUUCGGAUUUACUGGGCGUAAAGGGUGUGUAGGCGGCUGGAUAAGUCUGGUGUGAAAUCUUCACCGCUCAACGGGAAGAGGUCACUGGAAACUGUUCAGCUUGAGUAUGGUAGAGGUAAGCGGAAUUCCUGGUGUAGCGGUGGAAUGUGUAGAUAUCAGGAAGAACAUCGGUGGCGAAGGCGGCUUACUGGGCCAUUACUGACGCUGAGACACGAAAGCGUGGGGAGCAAACGGGAUUAGAUACCCCGGUAGUCCACGCUGUAAACGGUGCGCAUUAGGUGUGGGGGGUAUCGACCCCUCCCGUGCCGACGCUAACGCAUUAAAUGCGCCGCCUGGGGAGUACGGCCGCAAGGUUGAA